This 518-nucleotide ribosomal RNA is filed under the name Lynceus brachyurus (holarctic clam shrimp). RNAcentral's name for it is "partial 16S ribosomal RNA". It matches the Rfam family "Bacterial large subunit ribosomal RNA", at positions 1806 to 2619 of the family's 2925-position model. The record is from RNAcentral. Lineage: Eukaryota; Metazoa; Arthropoda; Branchiopoda; Diplostraca; Lynceidae.
UACAAAAACAUUUCUUAAGGAAAAAUUUUAAGUAAUGUCUGCCCGGUGAAUUUUUUAACGGCCGCGGUAAUUUGACCGUGCUAAGGUAGCAUAAUCAUUUGUCUCUUAAUUGGAGACUGGAAUGAAAGGCAAAACGUGAAUCGAUCUGUCUUUUUGAUAAAGUUUGAAGUUUAUUUUUUAGUGAAAAAGCUAAAAUGAUUUUGUGGGACGAUAAGACCCCGUAGAUCUUUAUUGUAUACUUAAGUAUUAAAAAAAGUAACAAUUUUAUUGGGGCGAUAAAAAGAAAAAAAUAUCUCUUUUAAAUUUAAAUAUUUAUUUAUAAAUGAAAUUAUUGAUCCUAGGUGAUGGAUUUUAAGAAAAAGUUACCUUGGGGAUAACAGCGUUAUAUUUUUUGAGAGUUCUUAUCGAAAAAAAUGUUUGCGACCUCGAUGUUGGAUUAAGAUAUUAUUGUGGUGCAGAAUUUAUAAUUAUUAGUCUGUUCGACUAUUAAAAUCUUACGUGAUCUGAGUUCAGACCGG